UGAGAGGUAGUUUAAAAAGAAUGUAAGGUUGUCAGUCUUAUGGUGUCGUAAUAGACUCUCUUAG
RNAcentral lists this transfer RNA (64 nucleotides) under Bankia sp. TBF03. RNAcentral's name for it is "tRNA-Asp". The record is from RNAcentral. Lineage: Eukaryota; Metazoa; Mollusca; Bivalvia; Myida; Teredinidae. RNAcentral also lists the same sequence under 1 other name.